AGCAGGCGCGCAAAUUACCCAAUCCCGACACGGGGAGGUAGUGACAAUAAAUAACAAUACGGGGCUCUUUCGGGUCUCGUAAUUGGAAUGAGUACAAUUUAAAUCCCUUAACGAGGAACAAUUGGAGGGCAAGUCUGGUGCCAGCGGCCGCGGUAAUUCCAGCUCCAAUAGCGUAUAUUAAAGUUGUUGCAGUUAAAAAGCUCGUAGUUGAAUUUCGGGAUUGANACAUCGGUCGUGCCUUAAGGGGUAUGAACUGGUGUAGUCAAUUUCUCACCUUCUGGAGAACCGCGAUGCCCUUAAUUGGGUGUCACGGGGAACCAGGACCUUUACUUUGAAAAAAUUAGAGUGUUUAAAGCAGGCAUUUUGCUUGAAUACAUUAGCAUGGAAUAAUAAAAUAGGACGGCAUGAUUCUAUUUUGUUGGUUUCUAGGAUCACCGUAAUGAUUAAUAGGGAUAGUUGGGGGCAUUAGUAUUCAAUUGUCAGAGGUGAAAUUCUUGGAUUUAUUGAAGACUAACUACUGCGAAAGCAUUUGCCAAGGAUGUUUUCAUUAAUCAAGAACGAAAGUUAGGGGAUCGAAGACGAUCAGAUACCGUCGUAGUCUUAACCAUAAACUAUGCCGACUAGGAAUCAGACGAUGUUAAUUUUUUAAUGACUCGUUUGGCACCUUACGGGAAACCAAAGUGUUUGGGUU
This 691-nucleotide ribosomal RNA is filed under the name uncultured Glomeromycotina. Its description in RNAcentral is "SSU rRNA". It matches the Rfam family "Eukaryotic small subunit ribosomal RNA", at positions 427 to 1113 of the family's 1831-position model. The record is from RNAcentral. Lineage: Eukaryota; Fungi; Glomeromycota.